GAUGAGAUCUUAGUCCUCACUCCCUUCCUCUUCUCUGAUUUCAAAAUUUUCAUGAUUUCCUUUAGACUAUUCGCCUGUUUCUUUUUGCUGCGGGGAAUAGUCUGCACCGGUGUUUAAUCGGAUCAUUUUAUGUUUUCUUGAAAUAGAGGCACUGAACGCCAUGUGACUUCAGCCUUGCACCGGUGAGAUGGAUACUUGCUCUUUGUUUCCUCACUUUUAUUGUGUUUUCAUCCAUGUCAAGUCAUAGAAACGAUAGUGAACCUAUUCUGUUAUUAAAUUUGGCAACAUUUUACUUAUUCUGUUGGUGUUUAUCAUCCACAAUGUUUUGUACCCACUUGUCGUUAUAUUACACGUGUUCCAGGGGUCUCUUUGACAUGUAGUCGUAUUUGUUGGUGCAGGUGACUCCAACAGCAACGUUCGUUUCGUGCUGU
This 431-nucleotide long non-coding RNA is filed under the name Physcomitrium patens. RNAcentral's name for it is "long non-coding RNA (PPAT_LNC005176)". The record is from RNAcentral. Lineage: Eukaryota; Viridiplantae; Streptophyta; Bryopsida; Funariales; Funariaceae.